CUUUCACUGGCUGCGCCGGGGGAUAUUGAGGGCAGGGAUACCCUGCACAGGGAGGACAGGAACAGACUUCCUAGGAUCUGUGCCUGCGAGCCGAUGCUCUGAGAAUGGGAGUUGUUUUCUUGGGUGUCUCGUCUUCUGUCAUCUCUGCUGAAAGAUCUAUGCAAAGAAUUAAAGGAAUAAGAAAAAGCUGAGUCACAAAGAUGGUGAAAAAAUAGAUAUCAGAGAACAAGUGAGACAAUCCCACACCGCACAGAAGAAAUAAAAUCCAAGCUGUACAGGAGAGGCCCUUCUGCGGCAGUGGGGCAGAGCAUCUACACUCAGGCCCCCGCAGCAGGUCCUAUGGAAACCAGCCCUCUGCACCCUAGCUGUGUGCCUUCUCGGCCGGGAACAGGCGGGAGCAUCAUACCUUCCUCACUGGACUCAUCACUUGAGAAGACAACUUUGGGUUUCUUUUUGGAAGCUCGCUGCUGGGUGUUUGGAUGCCGACGGGUAGUACGGCGGGGCUCUGGUGUGACAAAGUCAUUGUCUGAGGCUGUAGAAGCCAGAGGCUGGUACCUAGAACCUAGAAAAGGCAGGAAAACGUGAUUUAAAAAAGAAGAAGAAACAAAUCACUGCAGGAGGGGAGGGCCCAGUCUGGUCUCGCCCGCACAGGCUGCCUUACGUACCAGUGGAUGGUUUCUUGGCUGAUGGCGCUCUCUGGCUACCUGCUUGGCCAAUCUCAAGCUCCUUGAUUCCAUCCAAACCUCUGGUAUGACAGGCCCGAAGCUUCUGCUCAAAUUCAUCUAUUAUAGCCUGGAGGGAGAAAAGGAGAUUCAGAGCAGGCCUGAAAACAGUUACUUCUGAUUAAAAAGAAACAAGGCCAUGGAAGACAUGGAGGCCUUAAACGCACAUUACUAAGAAGCCAAGGUGAGAAGGCUCCAUACCGGAUCAUUCCAAUGAUACAUUCUGGAAAAGACAAAGUGAUGGCAACAGUAAAAAGAUCAGGGGUUGUGGGGAGAGAGGGAUAAAUAGGUGGAGUGCAGGGGAUUUGUAAGGCAGUGAAACUCUUCUGUAUGAUACUGCAAUGGUGGGUACAUGUCAUUACGUGCAGUGAACUCCAAGGUAAACCAUGACUUUAGGAGAUGAUGUGUAAGUGUAGGUUCAGCUGUAACAAAUGUGCCACCCUGGUGCAGGAUGUUGAAGGUGGGGAAGGCUGUGAUGUGUAGGGGCAAGGGGUAGAAGGGAACUCCCUGUACUUUCUGCUCAAUUUUGCUUUGAACCUAAAACUGCUCUGAAAAAUAAAAACUAUUAAAAACAAAC
Molecule: long non-coding RNA, 1299 nt
Filed under: Homo sapiens (human)
Lineage: Eukaryota; Metazoa; Chordata; Mammalia; Primates; Hominidae
Description: non-protein coding lnc-IFFO1-1:3
Source: RNAcentral